Long non-coding RNA from Oncorhynchus tshawytscha (Chinook salmon), 1191 nucleotides. The record is from Ensembl. NCBI's taxonomy places the organism in Eukaryota, Metazoa, Chordata, Actinopteri, Salmoniformes, Salmonidae.
GUUUCUCCGGCUGGUGCCAAAAAUGACAUUCUUUGGCAGGGCACAGGGCUGCUGUAAAGCACUACUCAGGAACACAAUGUUCGGGACGCUGGAUGCAGCAAAGAAGCACUCUUAGAUUAAACAAGACCAAUGUGAUAACUGCUGAGCUCUUAUGGAAAACAACACAGUCGAAGCAUUACUACUGUUGAAAUAUUACUGUAACAUUACAGGAACAGUCACUUAGUGAAGUUGUCCUCUUUUUUGGUCCACUUUGCCGAGUGAUUGAUUGACACUUCCUCCAGCCAAUAGGCCACUCAAUCUCCUGGCUGUGGUCCUGGCCCAACAGAGGGGAGAUGAGAGUUAUUCUGCCUGCAAUGCCAAGGGUAAUGAGAACAACGCCACCACUGUAUCUGGCUUCCCGGGGUCUGUGCCAGUCUACGGGCCUCUCUCUCCAUCCAUGGCCGAGCUCCCCUCACCCUCAGUCAGCCACGGAUGGAGAUGGUAGUAGGGCUAGGAUAGAGGAUGGAGAUGGUAGUAGGGCUGGGUUAGAGGAUGGAGACGGUAGUAUGGCUGUGUGUGGUAGGGCUGGGAUAUAGGAUGGAGAUGGUGGUAUGGCUGUGUGUGGUAGGGCUGGGUUAGAGGAUGGAGAUGGCAGUAUGGCUGUGUGUGGUAGGGCUGGGAUAGAGGAUGGAGAUGGUAGUAUGGCUGUGUGUGGUAGGGCUGGGAUAGAGGAUGGAGAUGGCAGUAUGGCUGUGUGGUAGGGCUGGGAUAGAGGAUGGAGAUGGUAGUAUGGCUGGGUUAGAGGAUGGAGAUGCUAGUAUGGCUGGGAUAGAGGAUGGAGAUGGUAGUAUGGCUGGGAUAGAGGAUGGAGAUGGUAGUAGGGCUGGGAUAGAGGAUGGAGAUGGUAGUAUGGCUGUGUGUGAUGGUAGUGGGAUAGAGGAUGGAGAUGGUAGUAUGGCUGGGAUAGAGGAUGGAGAUGGUAGUAUGGCUGUGUGUGGUAGGGCUGGGAUAUAGGAUGGAGAUGGUGGUAUGGCUGUGUGUGGUAGAGCUGGGUUAGAGGAUGGAGAUGGCAGUAUGGCUGUGUGGUAGGGCUGGGAUAGAGGAUGGAGAUGGUAGUAUGGCUGUGUGUGGUAGGGCUGGGAUAGAGGAUGGAGAUGGUAGUAUGUCUGUGUGUGGUAGGGCUGCGAUAGAGGAUGGAGAUGGCAGUAUGGC